AUAUUAUACGACUCAUGUUCUUAUUUUGUUGGUUUCAGGAGCUAGAGUAAUGGUCGAUAGGGAUUGCUGGGGGCAUUUGUAUUAACGCGUCAGAGGUGGAAUUCUUGGAUUGCGUUACUACCAACUACUGCCAAAGCAUUUGUCAAGAAUGUUUUCAUUGAUCAAGAACGAAAGUAUGGGGAUCGAAGAUGAUUAUAUACCGUCGUACUCUAUACCAUAAACUAUGCCGACUAGGGAUUGGAGGUCGUUCUAUCUGUGACCCCUUCAGCACCUUACGAGAAAUCAGAGUCUUUGGGUUCCGGGGGGAGUAUGGUCGCAAGGCUGAAACUUAAAGGAAUUGACGGAAGGGCACCACCA
Molecule: ribosomal RNA, 357 nt
Filed under: uncultured eukaryote
Lineage: Eukaryota
Description: bacterial SSU rRNA
Rfam family: Eukaryotic small subunit ribosomal RNA
Source: RNAcentral